Oreochromis niloticus (Nile tilapia) is the source of this 1588-nucleotide long non-coding RNA. RefSeq lists it as uncharacterized. The record is from RefSeq and is a predicted model, not a curated record. Lineage: Eukaryota; Metazoa; Chordata; Actinopteri; Cichliformes; Cichlidae. The transcript has 4 exons.
AUAUCACCUUGUUGCUUUGUCUUUAAGUGGUCAUGUGAUUGGCUUACCACGACUACUUUAUUCUUCCUCAGUCAAACAGCAGCACUCAUGCGAUUGUUUUGCCCCCUGAGCUCCGGGUGUUGUGCUGUACAGUGCUCGUGAUUAGCGUCCGCGGGAGCGCGCGCAGCUGCUUAAAGCUGUAGCGUCCAGAAGAUGCGUGGGACAUGUCUUUGGUUGGUGGGAGGAAGCUCGCCGCGGAGUCGUCCGCUGCACAGCAGCAAUCGCCGCGGGGGAGAGGUGUUUCCACACCGCAGCCACAGAGUUCCACUACUUGCCGCUUAGCUCACCCGCCUCCUGCUGGGCGGCAAUGUGGUCGCAGGAUGAGGACGAGGACGUCAUUUCUCCAUUGUCACCAGUUUCUCCUGUCGCCUCAGCCCCCUCAUCCAGCAGGAAGCGGUGCCUCCGCCAUCAUUCCACACUACAGCCGGAGCCCAGCCACUGGUCAGAACAGCAGGCAGUGGUGAGUGAUGUUGACUGUACCCCUAUUGCUUCACCUGUAAAUAGUAAUGGGGACUGUUUUUCUCUCACCGCUGAGAGUAGUGAGGUGAAGGCGGUUCGUUCUAUGGACAUUCACUCCGGCCCAGUAGAAAGAAUAGACUUUCUGACUGAUUGUGACAUUUUUUCUGUUAAAAAGUCAGAAUGUAUGGACAAGACUCUGUGCACAUAGAAUUCUUUCCCCCAAAGACUCAGAGCCGACCAAUAAAUGUUAAGACAGAACUUAUCUAGAGGAACAUCAGCUGGCAGAAUACACCGGGCGCCUGUCCACAGUGCUGGAGGACAGGCGGCAUGCUCACUGAAUACAUCAGCAGCUAGAAGGAGGCGCUCGUGACAGAUGCAACAGUCAUCAGCAAAACAAGCCCCUAGGAAACGAUGUAUGAAUGCUUGUGUUCAUCUCAUUAUUAAUGAGAGCCUGAAGCUUUGUGACGCCGUGAUUCGAGUAGACGAUGAAUUUCAAGUCCACAAGAUAAUCCUGUGUAACUGUAGCCGAUAUUUCAGGGUCCUUCCUUCUGAGAUGUGAGGUCGAGGUCGGGCAGGAUAUGACCAAUGGAGCCGGGACACCACUCUGCAGGAGAAAGGAGAAAGAAAUUAACAUGUAAUUUAUCCUAAAAGCAAUGGUGUACUGACCUGAUUUUAUUUAUUGUAGGUACAGUGGGAUAUUCUCCUACAUUCACUACUCUCAAAUCCAGUGUCCAAUAAGUGACACAGUAUUGGAUAUUUUUGAUAUGGGAUGCAUCGACACACCAGACAGGUACUUAGUACCUUCCAUCCAUCCUUCCAAGCCCCAAGAUGGUGCUAAAAUGUCUCCUAACAGUCUGCUAUGGGUUUAUGAGUGCACUAAAGAAAUUACAUGCAGUUCUGCAGAUGUUUUUUUUUUCUGUUCAGGUUGUUUGUCUUAUGAAAUCCUUCAACAGUUAAACCAAAAUUUUAAAUGUUAAAUAAAAAAAUAGUUUAAUGACAAAGAGUUUGAUCCAUGAUGUCAUUUCCUGUAUAUCAAACCAAAAACUGACGUGACAAAUGUUCUCUGUGACACAGAUGGAGGUUUAUCAGA